GUAGGGAAUAUUGGGCAAUGGAUGAAAGUCUGACCCAGCCAUGCCGCGUGCCGGAUGAAGGCGCUCAGCGUUGUAAACGGCUUUUAUUCGGGAAGAAGAGCAGGGAUGCGUCCCUGUGUGACGGUACCGAAUGAAUAAGCACCGGCUAACUCCGUGCCAGCAGCCGCGGUAAUACGGAGGGUGCGAGCGUUGUCCGGAUUUAUUGGGUUUAAAGGGUGCGUAGGUGGCCAAAUAAGUCAGUGGUGAAAUACGGUUGCUCAACAAUCGAGGUGCCAUUGAUACUGCUUGGCUUGAAAUAAUUGGAGGCUGCCGGAAUGGAUGGUGUAGCGGUGAAAUGCAUAGAUAUCAUCCAGAACACCGAUUGCGAAGGCAGGUGGCUACGAUUUAUUUGACACUGAGGCACGAAAGCAUGGGGAGCAAACAGGAUUAGAAACCCGUGUAGUCC
Molecule: ribosomal RNA, 445 nt
Filed under: uncultured bacterium
Lineage: Bacteria
Description: partial 16S ribosomal RNA
Rfam family: Bacterial small subunit ribosomal RNA
Source: RNAcentral